UACGAGGGGGGGCGAGCGUUGUUCGGAAUUAUUGGGCGUAAAGGGUGCGUAGGCGGCCUGACAAGUCUGAUGUGAAAUCCCUGGGCUCAACCCAGGGCCUGCAUCGGAAACUGUCGGGCUUGAGUAUGGGAGAGGUGAGUGGAAUUUCCGGUGUAGCGGUGAAAUGCGCAGAUAUCAGGAGGAACACCGAUGGCGAAGGCAGCUCGCUGGGACGGUACUGACGCUGAGGCGCGAAAGCGUGGGGAGCAAACAGG
This 254-nucleotide ribosomal RNA is filed under the name uncultured bacterium. Its description in RNAcentral is "partial 16S ribosomal RNA". It matches the Rfam family "Bacterial small subunit ribosomal RNA", at positions 524 to 776 of the family's 1533-position model. The record is from RNAcentral.